AGAGCAUCAAGAACUACAGGUUCUUCUUUUUGAUCCAUCGACAUCAAUCCUAAGUUUCCUGAGCUCUGGUGCACCCUUUUUAACCCUCUACCGUCUAAUCCUGUUGUGUCGAAAGCAAGAAGAUUGUCUACGGUACCAAAACCAACUCUCGCGGUACUACUGAAGACUCUCCUCAACUUUAAAUUAGAAGAAAGAAGUUGAGAUGCCGCAUCCAGUGGACGUUCAGGCCAAUCCAAUCUACUGUCACAAUCAAUGCCAUAUAUCCUCUUUAAAUGCAGAUUUUUCCCUAAGUUGAUAGUAUUAUUCUCGAAAAUCAGAGCUGUGUCGAUUGAUGCCUCAUCUUCCAUUCUAUCCAGUUCAGGAGCAUCAACCACAUCUGCAAUUAUGUCAUCAGCAGAAGAAGUCCUUAAAACUGGAGAAGGCGGAGCACUGUAACUCUUGAGCUUCGUUUCAGGUUCCUCCGUCCUGUUUAAUGUUCUUCGUAUGAUCGCCUCCCAUUUCGGAACUGGCCUUCUAUUUUCUGCUCCCAG
Molecule: unclassified non-coding RNA, 530 nt
Filed under: Hevea brasiliensis (rubber tree)
Lineage: Eukaryota; Viridiplantae; Streptophyta; Magnoliopsida; Malpighiales; Euphorbiaceae
Source: RNAcentral